Ovis aries (sheep) is the source of this 72-nucleotide transfer RNA. It matches the Rfam family "tRNA". From Rfam's summary of the family: Transfer RNA (tRNA) molecules are approximately 80 nucleotides in length. Their secondary structure includes four short double-helical elements and three loops (D, anti-codon, and T loops). NCBI's taxonomy places the organism in Eukaryota, Metazoa, Chordata, Mammalia, Artiodactyla, Bovidae. The record is from Rfam.
UCCCUUGUGCCUCAGACUGUAAAGAACCUGCCUGGAAUGCAGGAGACCCAGGUUGGAUUCCUGGGUUGGGAA